Molecule: non-coding RNA, 105 nt
Organism: Acanthosepion pharaonis
Lineage: Eukaryota; Metazoa; Mollusca; Cephalopoda; Sepiida; Sepiidae
Source: the annotation of a GenBank genome assembly
UUACGACCACAUCACAUCGAAACACCGGUUCCCGUAAGAUCACCGAAGUUAAGCAACGUUGAACUUGGUAAUUAACUAAAUGGGUAACUGCUUGGGAAUACCAGC